Solanum lycopersicum (tomato) is the source of this 823-nucleotide long non-coding RNA. RefSeq lists it as uncharacterized. NCBI's taxonomy places the organism in Eukaryota, Viridiplantae, Streptophyta, Magnoliopsida, Solanales, Solanaceae. The record is from RefSeq and is a predicted model, not a curated record.
UGAGGUACUUUGACCAAAUAUUUUCUGGGCGUCCUUGUAAACUUUAUUAAUAGGAUGCAUUGUUCCUGAGGAGCUAUCAUCGGUAUUUUAAAGUUCAAAGGAGGGAUAGAACAAGAAAUACCAAUUUUUCCCAUUUUUCAUGUGCCAUAGUCCGUAUAUUUGCGUUGUUAUGUGAUCCUAGUGGUAUUUGGACCGAAUUGUUUUGUGGGCAUUUUGAAAUUUAAAUUAGCUGUGAAUUGAGAAAUACCUAUUUUUCCAUUUUUCGUGUGAUCUAGUCAACAAAUUUUGGGUGAUAUGUGAUCCAUGCGGUAUUUUGGCUCAAAUAUUUAACGGGUGUUAUUUAAGAAUUUAUUAAUUGCACGUGUUGGUUUGAAGGCGUAAACUGUGGAAAUUUUUGGUUCAAAUGAGGCCUCGAAUGAGAAAUAGUGAAUUUUCCAUUUUUUUUUAUCUAUAGUCCAUGAAUUUUGGAUGAUGUGAUCCUAGUGAUUGGAUGGUAUUUUUGUGGGCAUUCAUGACGACCUAUUUAAUAGUGUACGUUGUUUUGGUGGGUCAUACUUCAACAUUUUCAAGUUCAAAUCAGAUGGCCAAACAUCGUUAUUUUCAAGUUCAAACGAAGCACAAAAAGGGAGACCAAAUUUUCCAUUUUAAAUGUGCUAUAAUCCAUGAAUUUUGGGUGAUGUUUGAUCACACUGUUUUAUUGUCGAAAUUCUUUUAUGGGAAUCCAUGUAUAUAAUGGUGUACACAUUAGUUCGCAUUGGAAAAUGUUAAAACUUUUUGAAGUUCAAUCAAGGUCGGAACGAGAAAUAUCGAUUUUUUUCUUGUG